RNAcentral lists this unclassified non-coding RNA (471 nucleotides) under uncultured fungus. RNAcentral describes it as "partial contains 5.8S ribosomal RNA and internal transcribed spacer 2". The stretch from base 1 to 133 matches the Rfam family "5.8S ribosomal RNA", at positions 22 to 154 of the family's 154-position model. Lineage: Eukaryota; Fungi. The record is from RNAcentral.
UGGUUCCGGCAUCGAUGAAGAACGCAGCGAAAUGCGAUAACUAGUGUGAAUUGCAGAAUUCAGUGAAUCAUCGAGUCUUUGAACGCAUAUUGCGCCCGCCGGUAUCCCGGCGGGCACGCCUGUCCGAGCGUCAUUUAUAAGUCAAUCGGGAAGCCGUCGUAGACGCUCCCGGAAUCCUGGGUGUGAUCGCGCAAUAGUGCGACACCUUAAAAGCGCGGAGCUCGACCCGUCUAUCACCGGUACAUAGUGAUCUGGCGAGGUCCUGCGUCGUGAGAGGUGGGCACGUCGGGCUUCCGCCCGCGGUUUCCGCAGGGCAGAGGCCGAUAGACGAUGCCACCGCCGAUCUCUCCCGAUACAAAAGGGGAUAUCGGACGUAGACGGUAACCAGGAGAGGGGACCGAAGGUCCCUCUCUGAAUCGUCACCGUCGCCACGUUAAGCUUGACCUCGGAUCAGGUGGGGACACCCGCUGA